RNAcentral lists this unclassified non-coding RNA (437 nucleotides) under soil metagenome. Its description in RNAcentral is "partial contains 5.8S ribosomal RNA, internal transcribed spacer 2, and large subunit ribosomal RNA". The stretch from base 1 to 120 matches the Rfam family "5.8S ribosomal RNA", at positions 35 to 154 of the family's 154-position model. The record is from RNAcentral.
GAUGAAGAACGUAGCGAAAUGCGAUAAGUAAUGUGAAUUGCAGAAUUCCGUGAAUCAUUAAAUCUUUGAACGCACAUUGCGCUCUUUGGUACUCCAAAGAGCAUAUCUGUUUGAGAAUCAGUUAAACUCUCAAUACUUUUUUCUUUUAUUCGUAAAAGAAAAUAAUGUAUUGGAUUUGGUUUUUAUUGACAACCAGUUGCCAAUUAAACUUAAAAUUAUUUCGUUUUGUGAGGUUAAUUCUUUUUAACUCCGAAAGCAUGACCAAAGAACGAAAGUUCUAAAUUGAUUGCUGAUAACGAGGUGUUUAGACUUUAAUCUCUUUUUAAUAAAGCGAUUUUUUUUUAACACGAAAAAAAAGUAAUUACUUUUUUUUUAAGACUUGAUCUCAAAUCAGAUAAGACUACCCGCUGAACUUAAGCAUAUCAAUAAGCGGAGGA